This 492-nucleotide ribosomal RNA is filed under the name uncultured bacterium. RNAcentral's name for it is "partial 16S ribosomal RNA". It matches the Rfam family "Bacterial small subunit ribosomal RNA", at positions 29 to 507 of the family's 1533-position model. The record is from RNAcentral.
AGUGAACGCUGGCGGUAGGCCUAACACAUGUAAGUCGAACGGCAGCACAGUAAGAGCUUGCUCUUACGGGUGGCGAGUGGCGGACGGGUGAGGAAUACAUCGGAAUCUACUUUUUCGUGGGGGAUAACGUAGGGAAACUCACGCUAAUACCGCAUACGACCUACGGGUGAAAGCAGGGGAUCUUCGGACCUUGCGCGAUUGAAUGAGCCGAUGUCGGAUUAGCUAGUUGGCGGGGUAAAGGCCCACCAAGGCGACGAUCCGUAGCUGGUCUGAGAGGAUGAUCAGCCACACUGGAACUGAGACACGGUCCAGACUCCUACGGGAGGCAGCAGUGGGGAAUAUUGGACAAUGGGCGCAAGCCUGAUCCAGCCAUACCGCGUGGGUGAAGAAGGCCUUCGGGUUGUAAAGCCCUUUUGUUGGGAAAGAAAAGCAGCAGGUUAAUACCCCGCUGUUCUGACGGUACCCAAAGAAUAAGCACCGGCUAACUUCGUG